UUCUUAGUACGAGAGGACCGGAAUGGACAAACCAAUGAUGUACCAGUUGUUACGCCAGUAGCAUCGCUGGGUAGUCACGUUUGGAAAGGAUAAACACUGAAAGCAUCUAAGUGUGAAGCCUACUUCAAGAUGAGUGCUUAUGAAGACCUUAUAGACUAUGAGGUUGAUAGGUAGCAGGUGUAAGUUUUGUAAGAAAUUAAGCUGAGCUAUACUAAUAUCUUCUAA
Molecule: ribosomal RNA, 225 nt
Filed under: Fusobacteriota bacterium
Lineage: Bacteria; Fusobacteriati; Fusobacteriota
Description: Fusobacteria bacterium (marine metagenome) partial 23S ribosomal RNA
Rfam family: Bacterial large subunit ribosomal RNA
Source: RNAcentral